RNAcentral lists this ribosomal RNA (240 nucleotides) under uncultured bacterium. Its description in RNAcentral is "partial 16S ribosomal RNA". It matches the Rfam family "Bacterial small subunit ribosomal RNA", at positions 91 to 334 of the family's 1533-position model. The record is from RNAcentral.
ACGAGUGGCGGACGGGUGAGUAAUGUCUGGGAAACUGCCCGAUGGAGGGGGAUAACUACUGGAAACGGUAGCUAAUACCGCAUAACGUCGCAAGACCAAAGAGGGGGACCUUCGGGCCUCUUGCCAUCGGACGUGCCCAGAUGGGAUUAGCUAGUAGGUGGGGUAACGGCUCACCUAGGCGACGAUCCCUAGCUGGUCUGAGAGGAUGACCAGCCACACUGGAACUGAGACACGGUCCAG